AUUGAACGCUGGCGGCAGGCCUAACACAUGCAAGUCGAGCGGAUGAAGGGAGCUUGCUCCUGGAUUCAGCGGCGGACGGGUGAGUAAUGCCUAGGAAUCUGCCUGGUAGUGGGGGAUAACGUCCGGAAACGGGCGCUAAUACCGCAUACGUCCUGAGGGAGAAAGUGGGGGAUCUUCGGACCUCACGCUAUCAGAUGAGCCUAGGUCGGAUUAGCUAGUUGGUGGGGUAAAGGCCUACCAAGGCGACGAUCCGUAACUGGUCUGAGAGGAUGAUCAGUCACACUGGAACUGAGACUCGGUCCAGACUCCUACGGGAGGCAGCAGUGGGGAAUAUUGGACAAAGGGCGAAAGCCUGAUCCAGCCAUGCCGCGUGUGUGAAGAAGGUCUUCGGAUUGUAAAGCACUUUAAGUUGGGAGGAAGGGCAGUAAGUUAAUACCUUGCUGUUUUGACGUUACCAACAGAAUAAGCACCGGCUAACUUCGUG
This 484-nucleotide ribosomal RNA is filed under the name uncultured bacterium. Its description in RNAcentral is "partial 16S ribosomal RNA". It matches the Rfam family "Bacterial small subunit ribosomal RNA", at positions 30 to 507 of the family's 1533-position model. The record is from RNAcentral.